GGGCGAUUAGCUCAGUUGGUUAGAGCACCUGUUUUACACGCAGGGGGUCAUAGGUUCGAAUCCUAUAUCGCCCACCA
RNAcentral lists this transfer RNA (77 nucleotides) under Candidatus Altimarinota bacterium. RNAcentral describes it as "tRNA-Val". It matches the Rfam family "tRNA". Rfam says of the family: Transfer RNA (tRNA) molecules are approximately 80 nucleotides in length. Their secondary structure includes four short double-helical elements and three loops (D, anti-codon, and T loops). Further hydrogen bonds mediate the characteristic L-shaped molecular structure. tRNAs have two regions of fundamental functional importance: the anti-codon, which is responsible for specific mRNA codon recognition, and the 3' end, to which the tRNAs corresponding amino acid is attached (by aminoacyl-tRNA synthetases). tRNAs cope with the degeneracy of the genetic code in two manners: having more than one tRNA (with a specific anti-codon) for a particular amino acid; and 'wobble' base-pairing, i.e. permitting non-standard base-pairing at the 3rd anti-codon position. Lineage: Bacteria; Candidatus Altimarinota. The record is from RNAcentral.